This 407-nucleotide ribosomal RNA is filed under the name uncultured bacterium. Its description in RNAcentral is "partial 16S ribosomal RNA". It matches the Rfam family "Bacterial small subunit ribosomal RNA", at positions 30 to 526 of the family's 1533-position model. The record is from RNAcentral.
AUUGAACGCUGGCGGCAGGCCUAACACAUGCAAGUCGAGCGGAGCGGCGGACGGGUGAGUAAUGCCUAGGAAUCUUCCUGGUAGUGGUGGAUAACGUCCGGAAACGGGCGCUAAUACCGCAUACUAUCAGAUGAGCCUAGGUCGGAUUGGCUAGUUGGGGGGGAAAAGGCCUACCAAGGCGACGAUCCGUAACUGGUCUGGGAGGGUGAUCAGUCACACUGGAACGGAGACACGGUCCAUACUCCUACGGGAGGCAGCAGUGGGGAAUAUUGGACAAUGGGCGAAAGCCGGAUCCAGCCAUGCCGCGGGGGUGAAGAAGGUCUUCGGAUUGUAAAGCACUUUAAGUUGGGAGGCGGUACCUGAAGAAUAAGCACCGGCUAACUACGUGCCAGCAGCCGCGGUAAUUC